AUUAACAAUGUAACAAGAAGAACAUCCAGAUAGUGAUUUGUCCUGAACAACACAGAGCUCACAAAGAAAAAAAAUGCAUGCAUUAUGUCAUAAUAAAAAAUUUUUAACUAAAGUUGAUGAUAGAGACACUGUACAAUUAAUUGUUCAUCAAGCUGCUAAUAAAAGAGGGAGCAGACCAGGAAGGCACAAGAGCCUUGCAGCCCACCUAGCAACUUCUGGCUCUAUCAGAGGAUCUUUGGGUUCUCCUGGGAAUGUGAGCAGCCUGAGGAAGACUUGCUUUUGAGACAAACAGACGGUUCCUCCAUCUCUGGAACCAUGCCAAGAGGCUGUGCCUAAUCUGCUCAGAAAUCAUGGCCCUCUGCCUGUCACUGAAGCCUGAACACACUCCAGGAAUUAGGUACUAAUUAAUGUCAACACACUACAAAUGAAGAAAGAAGGGAAAUUGCUUGGACUCAUUCCUGAGGAAAUCUCAGAAAUUUGCUUUAGUUAGUUAGUGUGUACCUCAAGGCAGCAUGGAGCCAAAGCACAGAAUGCUGCUCCUGUGGAUGAGUGACCUGGGGGUGACCCCUAUGAACCUCUUGACCAGUAUUUGCUCCUGUAUCUUGUUAUGAUCCUGCUGAAAACAUUGCAUUUUCUGAUUGGUGGCAUCAGAAAGGCCAAAAAUCCAAACCGUGGCUUCAUCAGCUUCAUGUUCGAGUGUCUAUUCAAAAUUCUAAGAGGUAUCUUUCACCGUGACACUUUCUUGAUUUUAAUGUAUUGCUGCUUAGUAGUCUUUAAUGAACACCUUUUCUAAUACUGGGA
RNAcentral lists this long non-coding RNA (801 nucleotides) under Fukomys damarensis (Damara mole-rat). RNAcentral's name for it is "lncRNA (ENSFDAG00000024012.1)". Lineage: Eukaryota; Metazoa; Chordata; Mammalia; Rodentia; Bathyergidae. The record is from RNAcentral.